GGGUUGUGAGGUUAAGCGACUAAGCGUACACGGUGGAUGCCCUGGCAGUCAGAGGCGAUGAAGGACGUGCUAAUCUGCGAUAAGCGCCGGUAAGGUGAUAUGAACCGUUAUAACCGGCGAUUUCCGAAUGGGGAAACCCAGUGUGACUCGUCACACUAUCAUUAACUGAAUCCAUAGGUUAAUGAGGCGAACCGGGGGAACUGAAACAUCUAAGUACCCCGAGGAAAAGAAAUCAACCGAGAUUCCCCCAGUAGCGGCGAGCGAACGGGGAGGAGCCCAGAGCCUGAAUCAGCAUGUGUGUUAGUGGAAGCGUCUGGAAAGGCGCGCGAUACAGGGUGACAGCCCCGUACACAAAAGCGCAUGUGCUGUGAGCUCGAUGAGUAGGGCGGGACACGUGGUAUCCUGUCUGAAUAUGGGGGGACCAUCCUCCAAGGCUAAAUACUCCUGACUGACCGAUAGUGAACCAGUACCGUGAGGGAAAGGCGAAAAGAACCCCGGCGAGGGGAGUGAAAAAGAACCUGAAACCGUGUACGUACAAGCAGUGGGAGCACCCUUUGGGGUGUGACUGCGUACCUUUUGUAUAAUGGGUCAGCGACUUAUAUUCUGUAGCAAGGUUAACCGAAUAGGGGAGCCGGAGGGAAACCGAGUCUUAAUUGGGCGUUAAGUUGCAGGGUAUAGACCCGAAACCCGGUGAUCUAGCCAUGGGCAGGUUGAAGGUUGGGUAACACUAACUGGAGGACCGAACCGACUAAUGUUGAAAAAUUAGCGGAUGACCUGUGGCUGGGGGUGAAAGGCCAAUCAAACCGGGAGAUAGCUGGUUCUCCCCGAAAGCUAUUUAGGUAGCGCCUCGUGAAUUCAUCUCCGGGGGUAGAGCACUGUUUCGGCUAGGGGGCCAUCCCGGCUUACCAACCCGAUGCAAACUGCGAAUACCGGAGAAUGUUAUCACGGGAGACACACGGCGGGUGCUAACGUCCGUCGUGAAGAGGGAAACAACCCAGACCGCCAGCUAAGGUCCCAAAGUCAUGGUUAAGUGGGAAACGAUGUGGGAAGGCCCAGACAGCCAGGAUGUUGGCUUAGAAGCAGCCAUCAUUUAAAGAAAGCGUAAUAGCUCACUGGUCGAGUCGGCCUGCGCGGAAGAUGUAACGGGGCUAAACCAUGCACCGAAGCUGCGGCAGCGACGCUGAUGCGUUGUUGGGUAGGGGAGCGUUCUGUAAGCCUGCGAAGGUGGCCUGUGAGGGUUGCUGGAGGUAUCAGAAGUGCGAAUGCUGACAUAAGUAACGAUAAAGCGGGUGAAAAGCCCGCUCGCCGGAAGACCAAGGGUUCCUGUCCAACGUUAAUCGGGGCAGGGUGAGUCGACCCCUAAGGCGAGGCCGAAAGGCGUAGUCGAUGGGAAACGGGUUAAUAUUCCCGUACUUGGUGUUACUGCGAAGGGGGGACGGAGAAGGCUAUGUUGGCCGGGCGACGGUUGUCCCGGUUUAAGCGUGUAGGUGUGUGUUCCAGGUAAAUCCGGUUCACUUUAACACUGAGGCGUGAUGACGAGGCACUACGGUGCUGAAGCAACAAAUGCCCUGCUUCCAGGAAAAGCCUCUAAGCAUCAGGUAACAUCAAAUCGUACCCCAAACCGACACAGGUGGUCAGGUAGAGAAUACCAAGGCGCUUGAGAGAACUCGGGUGAAGGAACUAGGCAAAAUGGUGCCGUAACUUCGGGAGAAGGCACGCUGACACGUAGGUGAAGUGAUUUACUCAUGGAGCUGAAGUCAGUCGAAGAUACCAGCUGGCUGCAACUGUUUAUUAAAAACACAGCACUGUGCAAACACGAAAGUGGACGUAUACGGUGUGACGCCUGCCCGGUGCCGGAAGGUUAAUUGAUGGGGUCAGCGCAAGCGAAGCUCCUGAUCGAAGCCCCGGUAAACGGCGGCCGUAACUAUAACGGUCCUAAGGUAGCGAAAUUCCUUGUCGGGUAAGUUCCGACCUGCACGAAUGGCGUAAUGAUGGCCAGGCUGUCUCCACCCGAGACUCAGUGAAAUUGAACUCGCUGUGAAGAUGCAGUGUACCCGCGGCAAGACGGAAAGACCCCGUGAACCUUUACUAUAGCUUGACACUGAACAUUGAGCCUUGAUGUGUAGGAUAGGUGGGAGGCUUUGAAGUGUGGACGCCAGUCUGCAUGGAGCCGGCCUUGAAAUACCACCCUUUAAUGUUUGAUGUUCUAACGUGGACCCGUGAUCCGGGUUGCGGACAGUGUCUGGUGGGUAGUUUGACUGGGGCGGUCUCCUCCUAAAGAGUAACGGAGGAGCACGAAGGUUGGCUAAUCCUGGUCGGACAUCAGGAGGUUAGUGCAAUGGCAUAAGCCAGCUUGACUGCGAGCGUGACGGCGCGAGCAGGUGCGAAAGCAGGUCAUAGUGAUCCGGUGGUUCUGAAUGGAAGGGCCAUCGCUCAACGGAUAAAAGGUACUCCGGGGAUAACAGGCUGAUACCGCCCAAGAGUUCAUAUCGACGGCGGUGUUUGGCACCUCGAUGUCGGCUCAUCACAUCCUGGGGCUGAAGUAGGUCCCAAGGGUAUGGCUGUUCGCCAUUUAAAGUGGUACGCGAGCUGGGUUUAGAACGUCGUGAGACAGUUCGGUCCCUAUCUGCCGUGGGCGCUGGAGAACUGAGGGGGGCUGCUCCUAGUACGAGAGGACCGGAGUGGACGCAUCACUGGUGUUCGGGUUGUCAUGCCAAUGGCACUGCCCGGUAGCUAAAUGCGGAAGAGAUAAGUGCUGAAAGCAUCUAAGCACGAAACUUGCCCCGAGAUGAGUUCUCCCUGAGACUUAGAGUCUCCUGAAGGAACGUUGAAGACGACGACGUUGAUAGGCCGGGUGUGUAAGCGCAGCGAUGCGUUGAGCUAACCGGUACUAAUGAACCGUGAGGCUUAACCUUACA
RNAcentral lists this ribosomal RNA (2918 nucleotides) under Salmonella enterica subsp. enterica serovar Bredeney. RNAcentral describes it as "partial 23S ribosomal RNA". It matches the Rfam family "Bacterial large subunit ribosomal RNA". The record is from RNAcentral. Lineage: Bacteria; Pseudomonadati; Pseudomonadota; Gammaproteobacteria; Enterobacterales; Enterobacteriaceae. RNAcentral also lists the same sequence under 1 other name.